GUAGGGAAUAUUGGGCAAUGGAGGCAACUCUGACCCAGCCAUGCCGCGUGCAGGAUGACGGCCCUCUGGGUUGUAAACUGCUUUUAUACGGGAAGAAAAAAUACUACGUGUAGUAUACUGACGGUACCGUAAGAAUAAGGAUCGGCUAACUCCGUGCCAGCAGCCGCGGUAAUACGGAGGAUCCAAGCGUUGUCCGGAUUUAUUGGGUUUAAAGGGUGCGUAGGCGGAUCUUUAAGUCAGUGGUGAAAGCCUGCAGCUUAACUGUAGAAUUGCCAUUGAAACUGAAGAUCUUGAAUGUGGUUAAAGUAGGCGGAAUGGAUCAUGUAGCGGUGAAAUGCUUAGAUAUGAUACAGAACACCGAUAGCGAAGGCAGCUUGCUGAACCAUUAUUGACGCUGAGGCACGAAAGCGUGGGGAGCGAACAGGAUUAGAUACCCCGGUAGUCC
Molecule: ribosomal RNA, 445 nt
Filed under: uncultured bacterium
Lineage: Bacteria
Description: partial 16S ribosomal RNA
Rfam family: Bacterial small subunit ribosomal RNA
Source: RNAcentral